RNAcentral lists this transfer RNA (72 nucleotides) under Ornithorhynchus anatinus (platypus). It matches the Rfam family "tRNA". Rfam says of the family: Transfer RNA (tRNA) molecules are approximately 80 nucleotides in length. Their secondary structure includes four short double-helical elements and three loops (D, anti-codon, and T loops). Further hydrogen bonds mediate the characteristic L-shaped molecular structure. tRNAs have two regions of fundamental functional importance: the anti-codon, which is responsible for specific mRNA codon recognition, and the 3' end, to which the tRNAs corresponding amino acid is attached (by aminoacyl-tRNA synthetases). tRNAs cope with the degeneracy of the genetic code in two manners: having more than one tRNA (with a specific anti-codon) for a particular amino acid; and 'wobble' base-pairing, i.e. permitting non-standard base-pairing at the 3rd anti-codon position. Lineage: Eukaryota; Metazoa; Chordata; Mammalia; Monotremata; Ornithorhynchidae. The record is from Rfam by way of RNAcentral.
AGCAGUGUGGCUUAGUGAAAAGAGCGCGGGCUUGGGAGAACGAAGAUGUGGGUUCUAAUCCUGCCUCUGCCA